This 432-nucleotide ribosomal RNA is filed under the name uncultured bacterium. RNAcentral's name for it is "bacterial SSU rRNA". It matches the Rfam family "Bacterial small subunit ribosomal RNA", at positions 28 to 507 of the family's 1533-position model. The record is from RNAcentral.
GAUGAACGCUAGCGGCAGGCCUAACACAUGCAAGUCGAGCGAGACCUUCGGGUCUAGCGGCGGACGGGUUAGUAACGCGUGGGAACGUGCCCUUCUCUGCGGAAUAGCCACUGGAAACGGUGAGUAAUACCGCAUACGCCCUUCGGGGGAAAGAUUUAUCGGAGAAGGAUCGGCCCGCGUUAGAUUAGAUAGUUGGUGGGUAACGGCCUACCAAGUCUACGAUCUAUAGCUGGUUUUAGAGGAUGAUCAGCAACACUGGGACUGAGACACGGCCCAGACUCCUACGGGAGGCAGCAGUGGGGAAUCUUAGACAAUGGGCGCAAGCCUGAUCUAGCCAUGCCGCGUGUGUGAUGAAGGUCUUAGGAUCGUAAAGCACUUUCGCCAGGGAUGAUAAUGACAGUACCUGGUAAAGAAACCCCGGCUAACUCCGUG